RNAcentral lists this ribosomal RNA (255 nucleotides) under uncultured bacterium. Its description in RNAcentral is "partial 16S ribosomal RNA". It matches the Rfam family "Bacterial small subunit ribosomal RNA", at positions 98 to 354 of the family's 1533-position model. The record is from RNAcentral.
CCGCACGGGUGAGUAACACGUAUGCAACCUGCCCUCUUCAGGGGGACAACCUUCCGAAAGGGAGGCUAAUCCCGCGUAUAUCGGUUUCGGGCAUCCGAGAUCGAGGAAAGAUUCAUCGGAAGAGGAUGGGCAUGCGGCGCAUUAGCUAGACGGCGGGGUAACGGCCCACCGUGGCGACGAUGCGUAGGGGUUCUGAGAGGAAGGUCCCCCACACUGGUACUGAGACACGGACCAGACUCCUACGGGAGGCAGCAG